CUUACCUCCCCAUAAGAAACUGAAACACAAUCAAGUUCAUCUCGGGAAAUUAAUGCGAUGGCUUGAUUUAUACCGGCAUCAAGCUAAUGAAUUAAUAAAUGCAAUAAUGAGAAAAAUGUAAAAAACUUACCUUUCCCAGGCGAUUCAGCACUUGAUAUAAAUCUAUCACAGGACACUCAUCUUCAUCUAUCUGAUGGAAAAGAUAAUCUCGUAAUAAGUAGAUUAAUGAAAUUUCUUUUUCUCGUGCGAUAGGAUAUUCACGAGAAGCUCUAUUAUUAUCAAUAAUAAACAUAAUCUUGCACAAAAUAUUAAAAAAUCGACCGUGUUGGAAAGCGUCCGAAAUUUUUCUCUCCAUUUUUUCGCAUUCCACGUAUGGUGAACUCAUUAUAGGGAAAAAACUUUCUAUGUGAUUUUGCAAAAACAACUCCAAGUUUUUAUCCUCAGGAACUUCCGAUACAAAGUAUAAAACCGCUUUAUAAAAUUCCCUCGAAUAUGUACUAUAAAUUGCUCGUGCGGCUGAAGACAUGUCCAUAUCAGUUCUUCCAGUAGCUAAAUUCGCAAUCACAACUCCAAGAUCUACAAAAUCCUGCUUCUUUCGUUCCUCUA
Schizosaccharomyces pombe (fission yeast) is the source of this 606-nucleotide non-coding RNA. Lineage: Eukaryota; Fungi; Ascomycota; Schizosaccharomycetes; Schizosaccharomycetales; Schizosaccharomycetaceae. The record is from the annotation of a GenBank genome assembly.